GAUAACCUGCCGAAAGCCAAAGGCGAAUCUGAUUCUGGUAAGUCGCAAUCUGAAACUGAUCGAUCUAGGAAGCGUAGGGGGAGGAGAUCUUAUGAUAGCGAUAGCGAAUCUGUAGAGGAGAGUGAUUCUGAUGAGGAAGAUAGGAGGAGACAACGUAGUAGAAAGAAGAUUAAGAGUAAGAGCUCUAGGAGAUCUUCUUAUGAUAGUGAUUCUGAAGAGAGUGAGGAAGAUAGGAAACUAGGAAGAAAAAGGAAGAAAAGCACAAGUAUUAGGAAGAAGAGAAGAUACAGUGAUUCUGAAUCUGAGAAUAGUGGUGAUGAACAACAACACACCAAGUCAAAGAUCAAGAGGCGGAAGAAGAAGCUCCUCUCAGGCGACGAGGAAGAUAGGGGAACACGCCGAGAGGAACACGCCGACGAGAGGGAUGAUGAUGAUGAUGAUAGCGAUAGCGAAUCUGUAGAGAGUGAUUCUGAUGAGGAAGAUAGGAGGAGACAACGUCGUAGUAGAAGGAAGAUUAAGAGUAAGAGCUCUAGGAGAUCUUCUUAUGAUAG
RNAcentral lists this long non-coding RNA (551 nucleotides) under Brassica napus (rape). Its description in RNAcentral is "long non-coding RNA (BNAP_LNC003627)". Lineage: Eukaryota; Viridiplantae; Streptophyta; Magnoliopsida; Brassicales; Brassicaceae. The record is from RNAcentral.